GUGGGGAAUAUUGGACAAUGGGCGCAAGCCUGAUCCAGCCAUGCCGCGUGAGUGAUGAAGGCCUUAGGGUUGUAAAGCUCUUUCAGUAGGGAAGAUAAUGACGGUACCUACAGAAGAAGCCCCGGCUAACUUCGUGCCAGCAGCCGCGGUAAUACGAAGGGGGCUAGCGUUGUUCGGAUUUACUGGGCGUAAAGCGCACGUAGGCGGAUUGUUAAGUCAGAGGUGAAAUCCUGGAGCUCAACUCCAGAACUGCCUUUGAUACUGGCAAUCUCGAGUCCGGAAGAAGUGAGUGGAACUCCUAGUGUAGAGGUGGAAUUCGUAGAUAUUAGGAAGAACACCAGUGGCGAAGGCGGCUCACUGGUCCGGUACUGACGCUGAGGUGCGAAAGCGUGGGGAGCAAACAGGAUUAGAAACCCGGGUAGUCC
RNAcentral lists this ribosomal RNA (425 nucleotides) under uncultured bacterium. RNAcentral describes it as "partial 16S ribosomal RNA". It matches the Rfam family "Bacterial small subunit ribosomal RNA", at positions 354 to 796 of the family's 1533-position model. The record is from RNAcentral.